AAAAUUUGAUGUGUUUAUUUUCAGAACCUUCAGAGUUAGUUAAAAGAGAUUGGAAUAAGCACAGAGGAACCUGGGGGAAACGGUCUUCUGCAGAAAGCUUGAUUGAGACGUUAGAGAAAGUAAAGCGAGAUUGGAACAAAUCCAG
Eurytemora carolleeae is the source of this 145-nucleotide long non-coding RNA. RefSeq lists it as uncharacterized. The record is from RefSeq and is a predicted model, not a curated record. NCBI's taxonomy places the organism in Eukaryota, Metazoa, Arthropoda, Copepoda, Calanoida, Temoridae. The transcript is spliced from 3 exons.